AACCUUCGGGUCAGUGGCGGACGGGUGAGUAACGCGUGAGAAUCUGCCCUCACGAGGGGGACAACAGCUGGAAACGGCUGCUAAUACCCCAUAUGCCGCGAGGUGAAAUGAAUUUCGCCUGAGGAUGAGCUCGCGUCUGAUUAGCUAGUUGGUGUAGGUAAUGGCUCACCAAGGCAUCGAUCAGUAGCUGGUCUGAGAGGAUGAUCAGCCACACUGGGACUGAGACACGGCCCAGACUCCUACGGGAGGCAGCAGUGGGGAAUUUUCCGCAAUGGGCGAAAGCCUGACGGAGCAACGCCGCGUGAGGGAUGAAGGCCUCUGGGCUGUAAACCUCUUUUAUCAAGGAAGAAGAUCUGACGGUACUUGAUGAAUAAGCCACGGCUAAUUCCGUGCCAGCAGCCGCGGUAGUACGGGAGUGGCAAGCGUUAUCCGGAAUUAUUGGGCGUAAAGCGUCCGCAGGCGGCCCUUCAAGUCUGCUGUUAAAAAGUGGAGCUUAACUC
Molecule: ribosomal RNA, 500 nt
Filed under: uncultured bacterium
Lineage: Bacteria
Description: bacterial SSU rRNA
Rfam family: Bacterial small subunit ribosomal RNA
Source: RNAcentral